This 77-nucleotide transfer RNA is filed under the name Gammaproteobacteria bacterium. Its description in RNAcentral is "tRNA-Pro". It matches the Rfam family "tRNA". From Rfam's summary of the family: Transfer RNA (tRNA) molecules are approximately 80 nucleotides in length. The record is from RNAcentral. Lineage: Bacteria; Pseudomonadati; Pseudomonadota; Gammaproteobacteria. RNAcentral also lists the same sequence under 3 other names.
CGGGGCGUAGCGCAGUCUGGUAGCGCACUUCGUUCGGGACGAAGGGGUCGGAGGUUCAAAUCCUCUCGCCCCGACCA